RNAcentral lists this ribosomal RNA (423 nucleotides) under uncultured marine eukaryote. RNAcentral describes it as "SSU rRNA". It matches the Rfam family "Eukaryotic small subunit ribosomal RNA", at positions 614 to 1043 of the family's 1831-position model. The record is from RNAcentral.
UGCAGUUAAAAAGCUCGUAGUUGGAUUUCGGAGUGGGCCAGUUGGUCCGCCGCAAGGUGUGUUACUGACUGGUCUGCUCUUCUUCGCAAAGACCGCGUGUGCUCUUUGUUGAGUGUGCGUAGGAUUUACGACGUUUACUUUGAAAAAAUUAGAGUGUUCAAAGCAGGCUAUUGCUUGAAUACAUGAGCAUGGAAUAAUGGAAUAGGACUUUGGUCCCAUUUUGUUGGUUUCUAGGACCGAAGUAAUGAUUAAGAGGGACAAUUGGGGGCAUCCGUAUUUCGUUGUCAGAGGUGAAAUUCUUGGAUUUACGAAAGACGAACAACUGCGAAAGCACUUGCCAAGAGUGUUUUCAUUAAUCAAGAACGAAAGUUAGAGGAUCGAAGACGAUCAGAUACCGUCCUAGUUCUAACCAUAAACGAUGUC